AACUUAAUAGUCAAUAAUGAUUUUAAAUUGCAAAUUUAAAGGAAAAUUUUAUAAAUUUUUAAGUUU
This 66-nucleotide transfer RNA is filed under the name Propalticus sp. PRO01. RNAcentral's name for it is "tRNA-Cys". The record is from RNAcentral. Lineage: Eukaryota; Metazoa; Arthropoda; Insecta; Coleoptera; Propalticidae.